CGAACAGCUUUGUGGAAGGAGUGAAUGAAAAAUGAAAUACAGACAACGUGUUCUUAGAUUGAUACUCAUCUCUUCUCUAUGCAAAGCACCCUCUUGGACAGAAUGGUUGUAUAAUAAGGUGAUGUCAAACUUACUCUACUUUUAUGGCAUGUUUGGAGUGGUGACUGAAUUAUUGCUUAAGAGUCUUUGGAGGAGAGGCAGAGUUCCAACGUUUGGCAGUUUCUGGAAGUAAUCAAUGGGAGACCUGACAUUACAGAGGGAUUGAGAAAACUACAAUGUUGUUCUCUAAUUUUUGUUGGAGAUAACUCUCCAUUUCACUUAGAGGCUCUCCACAUGACUUCCAAUCUAGAUAGGCGAUGUAGUGCAUUCAUUGAGGUAUGCAUCAGGUCUAUCCCAUCCUGUUUUAUAUUCAUAUAUGGCUAGCGUGAGAAUGAGCUUUAUUUACUAGGGGGUGUGGGGAGCAUAUACUCUGAAAAAUUUUAAGGAUUGUAUUUUCUAAC
Molecule: long non-coding RNA, 500 nt
Organism: Carya illinoinensis
Lineage: Eukaryota; Viridiplantae; Streptophyta; Magnoliopsida; Fagales; Juglandaceae
Exons: 4
Source: RefSeq, a predicted model, not a curated record